GACGAACGCUGGCGGCGUGCUUAACACAUGCAAGUCGAACGGAAAUGCCCUGCUCUUGUGUGGUGCUCGAGUGGCGCACGGGUGAGUAACACGUGAGUACCCUCUCCUUGCCUGUGGGAUAAAUUCCGGGAACUGGGGCUAAUAUCGGAUAGGAGCUCCUGCUGCAUGGUGGGGGUUGGAAAGUUUCGGCGGAUGGGGAUGGACUCGCGGCUUAUCAGCGUGUUGGUGGGGUAGUGGCUUACCAAGGCUUUGACGGGUAGCCGGACUGAGCGGGUGACCGGGCACAGUGGGACUCAGGUGGGGCCAGUAGGGCAUCGGCAGGAAGAAGUGGGAGUUAGACGACGAAGGGCGGAAGGCGGAUGGAGCGACUCCGCGUCGUAAAGGACGGUUUUCAGGUUAGAACCCGUACCCGCCUGACACGGAGCGAGAUUGACGGUACUGGGUAAGAAAGCAACGGCUAACUACGUG
This 468-nucleotide ribosomal RNA is filed under the name uncultured bacterium. RNAcentral's name for it is "partial 16S ribosomal RNA". It matches the Rfam family "Bacterial small subunit ribosomal RNA", at positions 28 to 507 of the family's 1533-position model. The record is from RNAcentral.